This 492-nucleotide ribosomal RNA is filed under the name uncultured bacterium. RNAcentral's name for it is "partial 16S ribosomal RNA". It matches the Rfam family "Bacterial small subunit ribosomal RNA", at positions 29 to 507 of the family's 1533-position model. The record is from RNAcentral.
AGUGAACGCUGGCGGUAGGCCUAACACAUGCAAGUCGAACGGCAGCACAGUAAGAGCUUGCUCUUACGGGUGGCGAGUGGCGGACGGGUGAGGAAUACAUCGGAAUCUACUUUUUCGUGGGGGAUAACGUAGGGAAACUUACGCUAAUACCGCAUACGACCUACGGGUGAAAGCAGGGGAUCUUCGGACCUUGCGCGGUUGAAUGAGCCGAUGUCGGAUUAGCUAGUUGGCGGGGUAUAGGCCCACCAAGGCGACGAUCCGUAGCUGGUCUGAGAGGAUGAUCAGCCACACUGGAACUGAGACACGGUCCAGACUCCUACGGGAGGCAGCAGUGGGGAAUAUUGGACAAAGGGCGCAAGCCUGAUCCAGCCAUACCGCGUGGGUGAAGAAGGCCUUCGGGUUGUAAAGCCCUUUUGUUGGGAAAGAAAAGCAGCAGGUUAAUACCCCGCUGUUCUGACGGUACCCAAAGAAUAAGCACCGGCUAACUUCGUG